RNAcentral lists this ribosomal RNA (497 nucleotides) under uncultured bacterium. RNAcentral describes it as "partial 16S ribosomal RNA". It matches the Rfam family "Bacterial small subunit ribosomal RNA", at positions 28 to 507 of the family's 1533-position model. The record is from RNAcentral.
GAUGAACGCUGGCGGCGUGCCUAAUACAUGCGAGUCGAGCGAACGGACGAGAGGCUUGCUUCUCUGAUGUUAGCGGCGGACGGGUGAGUAACACGUGGAUAACCUACCUAUAAGACUGGGAUAACUUCGGGAAACCGGAGCUAAUACCGGAUGAUAUUUUGAACCGCAUGGUUCAAAAGUGAAAGACGGUCUUGCUGUCACUUAUAGAUGGAUCCGCGCUGCAUUAGCUAGUUGGUAAGGUAACGGCUUACCAGGGCAACGAUGCAUAGCCGACCUAAGAGGGUGAUCGGCCACACUGGAACUGAGACACGGUCAAGACUACUACGGGAGGCAGCAGUAGGGAAUCUUCCGCAAUGGGCGAAAGCAUGACGGAGCAACGCAGAGUGAGUGAUGAAGGUCUUCGGAUAGUAAAACUCUGUUAUUAGGGAAGAACAUAUGUGUAAGUAACUGUGCACAUCUUGACGGUACCUAAUCAGAAAGCCACGGCUAACUACGUG